CCUACGGGUCGCACCAGUGGGGAAUAUUGCACAAUGGAGGAAACUCUGAUGCAGCAACGCCGCGUGGAGGAUGACGCAUUUCGGUGUGUAAACUCCUUUUAUAUAGGAAGAUAAUGACGGUACUAUAUGAAUAAGCACCGGCUAACUCCGUGCCAGCAGCCGCGGUAAUACGGAGGGUGCAAGCGUUACUCGGAAUCACUGGGCGUAAAGCGCGCGCAGGCGGGCUAAUAAGUUGGAUGUGAAGGUCUACGGCUCAACCGUAGAACUGCAUCCAAAACUGUUAGUCUAGAGUGUGGGAGAGGAAGAUGGAAUUAGUUGUGUAGGGGUAAAAUCCGUAGAGAUAACUAGGAAUACCAAAAGCGAAGGCAAUCUUCUGGGACAUUACUGACGCUGAGGCGCGAAAGCGUGGGUAGCAAACAGGAUUAGAUACCCUCGUAGUC
Molecule: ribosomal RNA, 440 nt
Filed under: uncultured bacterium
Lineage: Bacteria
Description: bacterial SSU rRNA
Rfam family: Bacterial small subunit ribosomal RNA
Source: RNAcentral